UGUGGGUGGCGAGCUUCCCGCGAUUGGUCAAUUAACAAGUGCAUUAGAAAAUAAUGAGGCUUCUCGUGUCGCGGAGCGCACGGUCACCUCUAACCUUGCACCCACGUAUAACCGCCAUGUGCAUCGCGCGCGCGUUUCAGCGUGCGCGCGCGCUAGUUCGCAACAAUACGAUUUAUUUACGUUGGUGCUCACCUGGAACGGGUAUAGAGAGGUUUUUCGCGUGCCACACGGGCCUACGGUAAGUCACCGUUAACGAGGCGUGAACGCGCCGCUGAAUUACGAUUGUUUUCCAUUUAGAAACGCGAAACGCACCACCGCCGCCGGUGACAACGUUGCGUAUAAUACGCGCGUAUCAGUCGAGCAAUAAUGGCGAGGUUACUUUGAAGCACGCCGGUACACACGAAUAUAGUGGGUUGUAC
RNAcentral lists this unclassified non-coding RNA (419 nucleotides) under Bombus terrestris (buff-tailed bumblebee). Its description in RNAcentral is "misc RNA ENSBTSG00005030312.1". Lineage: Eukaryota; Metazoa; Arthropoda; Insecta; Hymenoptera; Apidae. The record is from RNAcentral.